AACACCAGAAGAGGUUGCAUUAGCCAGGUAGGUAAUUUGAGGGGCCACACCCCAAAGACAAUUAUUGAGGGGGACUAAUGCCGAGAAUGAACGCGAAUAGCCAAUUUUUAAUAAAUUACUAGGUGGAAAGCGUCAUUCGGUCAUAACGGUUGAAUCCUUAUGACUGUCACCGAAACGGUGGAGAGCUUCUGGCUGA
Regulatory RNA element from Thalassotalea sp. ND16A, 196 nucleotides. It matches the Rfam family "Lysine riboswitch aptamer". Rfam says of the family: Riboswitches are metabolite binding domains within certain messenger RNAs that serve as precision sensors for their corresponding targets. Allosteric rearrangement of mRNA structure is mediated by ligand binding, and this results in modulation of gene expression. This family includes riboswitches that sense lysine in a number of genes involved in lysine metabolism, including lysC. Lineage: Bacteria; Pseudomonadati; Pseudomonadota; Gammaproteobacteria; Alteromonadales; Colwelliaceae. The record is from Rfam.